Molecule: ribosomal RNA, 468 nt
Filed under: uncultured bacterium
Lineage: Bacteria
Description: partial 16S ribosomal RNA
Rfam family: Bacterial small subunit ribosomal RNA
Source: RNAcentral
GACGAACGCUGGCGGCGUGCUUAACACAUGCAAGUCGAACGGACAGGCCCUGCUUUUGUUGGGUGCUCGAUUGCCGAACGGGUGAGUAAAACGUGUGUAUUACGCCCUUGACUUUGGGAUAACUUCAGGAAACAGCGGCUCUUAUCCGAUAGGAGAUCUUGCACCAUGGUGGGGGUUGGUAAGUUUCGGCGGUUGGGGAUGGUCUCGCGGCUUAUGAGCUUGUUGGUGUGGUUGUGGCUUACCAAGGUUUUGACGGGUAGCCGGCCUGAGAGGGUGACCGGCCACAUUGGGACUGAGGUACGGCCCAGACGCCUACGGGAGGCAGCAGUGGGGAAUAUUGCACAAUGGGCGGAAGCCUGAUGCAGCAACGCCGCGUGCGUGAUGACGUCCUUCGGGUUGUAAACCGCUUUCGACGGUGACGAAGCGUGAGUGACGGUAAUGGGUAAAGAAGCACCGGCUAACUACGUG